GACCUCCAGUGUGAGAGUAAGAGAAUUUGGGUGAGAGCGAGAGACAUGGUCGCACAGUGAGAGAGAUGGAAAGAGUUUCUGGUUUAGGUCAGGUGCAUCCAUGUCCGCUGCUGGGCCACGCACACACACACACACACACACACACACACACAUACACAUAUGUAUAUACAUAUAUA
Thalassophryne amazonica is the source of this 176-nucleotide long non-coding RNA. RefSeq lists it as uncharacterized. The transcript has 3 exons. The record is from RefSeq and is a predicted model, not a curated record. Lineage: Eukaryota; Metazoa; Chordata; Actinopteri; Batrachoidiformes; Batrachoididae.